UGGCGGACGGGUGAGUAACGCGUGGAAAACCUGCCGUAUACUGGGGGAUAACACUUAGAAAUAGGUGCUAAUACCGCAUAAGCGCACAGCUUCGCAUGAAGCGGUGUGAAAAACUCUGGUGGUAUACGACGGUUCCGCGUCUGAUUAGCUAGUUGGUGGGGUAAUGGCCUACCAAGGCAACGAUCAGUAGCCGGCCUGAGAGGGUGAACGGCCACAUUGGGACUGAGACACGGCCCAAACUCCUACGGGAGGCAGCAG
Molecule: ribosomal RNA, 258 nt
Filed under: uncultured bacterium
Lineage: Bacteria
Description: partial 16S ribosomal RNA
Rfam family: Bacterial small subunit ribosomal RNA
Source: RNAcentral